GACGAACGCUGGCGGCGUGCUUAACACAUGCAAGUCGAACGGUGAAGCGCCUUCCUUUUUGGUGGGUGUGGAUGAGUGGCGAACGGGUGAGUAACACGUGAGUAACCUGCCCCCUUCUUCUGGAUAACCGCAUGAAAGUGUGGCUAAUACGGGAUAUUCUGGGUCUGUCGCAUGAUGGGUCUGGGAAAGAUAUUGUUUCGGUGGGGGAUGGGCUCGCGGCCUAUCAGCUUGUUGGUGGGGUGAUGGCCUACCAAGGCGGUGACGGGUAGCCGGCCUGAGAGGGUGGACGGUCACACUGGGACUGAGACACGCACCAGACUCCGACGGGAGGCAGCAGUGGGGAAUAUUGCACAAUGGGCGCAAGCCUGAUGCAGCGACGCCGCGUGAGGGAUGGAGGCCUUCGGGUUGUGAACCUCUUUCGCCAGUGAAGCAGGCCUGCCUCGUUUGUGGGUGGGUUGACGGUAGCUGGAUAAGAAGCGCCGGCUAACUACGUG
Molecule: ribosomal RNA, 494 nt
Filed under: uncultured bacterium
Lineage: Bacteria
Description: partial 16S ribosomal RNA
Rfam family: Bacterial small subunit ribosomal RNA
Source: RNAcentral